This 75-nucleotide transfer RNA is filed under the name Mesotoga prima MesG1.Ag.4.2. RNAcentral's name for it is "tRNA-Val (CAC) (tRNA-Val-CAC-1-1)". It matches the Rfam family "tRNA". Rfam says of the family: Transfer RNA (tRNA) molecules are approximately 80 nucleotides in length. Their secondary structure includes four short double-helical elements and three loops (D, anti-codon, and T loops). The record is from RNAcentral. Lineage: Bacteria; Thermotogati; Thermotogota; Thermotogae; Kosmotogales; Kosmotogaceae. RNAcentral also lists the same sequence under 21 other names.
GGAUGCGUAGCUCAGCGGAAGAGCGCUUCCUUCACACGGAAGAGGCCACAGGUUCAAUCCCUGUCGCAUCCACCA